GGCAGCAUCAGGCCCGCGGCAAGGAGGAGCGGGGCGCGAAGGAGGAGCAGCAGCAGUGGUCUGUCCUGCUCCUCCCGUGUCCAUGGUCGGGGCGGCCGGCGUAGGCGAGCGGCGUGCAGGGGAUGGCUCGGCUUGCUACUUCUCCGCCAUUGCGUCCAUGGCUGGCAGCGGUGCGGGCGGAUCUCUAUCCAAAUCGGACGCAAUUACUCCUACGGCGCUAGCAGGCAGCAGCUGGAUCUGUUCGGGCGGACGGGCGCGGAGAAGAGAGAGGUAGGUCGUGCAAAAGGCGGAGCGCCACGACGAAGCUGUCGCCUGUCGGAGGCUCGGAGCUGCGGUCCUCCUUCCACUUCCACCCCAACAGGCCGCGGCGGCCGCGGCCCUCUACAUGCUCUGCACGGUGGCAGGCCCGUCUCCAGUAAAUGAAUCAUCUGCGGCAAUCCCGUCGUUGCGGAUUCCUGUCACGGCUCCCCUGCUAGCUAGACUGCUAGAGGCUGGUCCUUCACGUGAGCAACCUCUUGCAACAGCUACUCGGCUACGUCUCCACUCGUCUGUCAACCAUAUGUGCUCGACCAUUCAGCUAUUCCCAAUGAGGCAUCUCUGUGGGUGAUGAAUACAUUGAAUAGUAAAAGGAAAGGCACCUACAAGGUAUCAACCACAUAUAACUAUGUGCACAUUUUGUCGGUGUAUAGACCCGGCGGCCUAGCACCAACUAUACAUCCAUAUCGCUGAACCAAACCGUGGCCUGGGGAGCCAUGUGUUACUGUUACCACGUGGGCCCGUGGCAUGUGCUGGCUGUCAUCACACGUCGUCAUUCCAACGAACGUGUCGCCUCCGUGUUCUGCCGAGCAGAGGUUGCGUCCAUCCUAAGCGGAAGCCUACGCGGCGUUCUUCACUGCUAGAAAAUCGAUCACGCCAGGUUAUCUAGCCGGACGUCCUCACCUCACGGUCGACGACGCUGUCGUAGCUGCAGUCCCCCUUCCGCUCCGACAGGUUGCAAGUUGCAACUGCAACGCUCUACAUGUUCUGGUCGGUGAUUUAAGCCAUCUCCAGCAAGCGAGCCAUCAGCAGCAACCCCGGCAUUGCUGAUUCACGUUGCUAUCGUCUCCUCUGCCAGAGGCGAUUCGCUCGCAACCUCCUGCGGCAGCUACUCUCCACACGCCUCGCCGUCGCCGGAGAUGGUCCGUCUCAAUUUUGCUAAUCAGGUCUGAACCACCUGACCAUAUUUGUUCCUCACACGUGAGUGCCAAUUCUGGGUACAGCUAGCUCCCCUCUCUCCUUAAAUGGUGUAGUAGUGGAUUGAAACCAUUCAUGUACCCUCUUUUCUUUCCCAAAUUCAUCGGCGACUACUACCUGUAGCCUUUUGUGUGCUCAUGACUACAGGUGUCGAGCAACCAGCACGCAGCCAAUCCCAGUGAGGCAUCACGGGUGAUGAAUUGACCUGCAAAACAACAGAAAUGUAGUCAAGUGAAAGAGCAUGUUACAACAUAUUACAGGUAGGCUAUCUAUGCACUAUAAAACAACUAAAUCCUUUCGAUUCAAAGAUAUUGGUCUUCCAAUUGUCUUAUUAUCAUCAUGGUAUAAAUGUGUCAUUUUCAUAUUCCUAAGGUUCUAAAAUCAGUUUCUUUUUUCUUAAUAACUGAGGAUGUAUAUGGUAUGUUGUUUUACUCUGAAACCUACCAUAAAUGUUGCACCUCAAUUCUUAUACUUUGCAUAUCACCUCAUAUAAAAUCAUUUUUGACUUUGCUGUCAAUAUUGGGAAAUCAUCUGAAUAAUUUAGCCCACAUUUGCAUGCUAAACAGGCUAUAUAGUUUAGCUAUGAAAGCUAUUUACUUCAUUGUUGUUAAUUUUCUUUCCCGUCAAGUUGCUUUGAUCCCUGUAAUCUCAUUUACCUCUGCUUACCCAGAUGGAACAGGGACCACCAACAUCGACAUAAGAGAAAGUUACAUGUAUCAAUUUUUUCCAUAGUUGAGUAGAUCGUGCUUUGACUUCAGCUUAUUUUGAUUUCCAUCGAGUCUUUUCUUUGUUAACAUACUUUGACAUAUAUUGCAGCUCUUUGUGCUAUUCAAUGUUCUAAAGUAGUCAGCAUAGCAAAAAACGUUACAGGUCUAAUUCUAUCUCAAUCUGUGGUACCCAAUGUUCUGAAGUGUUCUAAAGUUGGCAUAUAUGAUUUUAGUAUACUAGAACUUCAUAACAUAAGAAGGUACAUCAGUUUAGUUUAAGCAUAUAUACUCAAAGUGUUUUUCCUUCAGAAUUCUCAUUUCAAACCAUGCAUAAUAAGUCUGUUCACCCCCAGUAGUACCAGAUUAUUUGUUUAAAACAUUGGAUUUAGAAUGUUGCUCAAGGCACCCAACAAGGCAUCAACCAUAUGUAGCGAUGUGCUUUUUUCUUACUAUUGAUUACUAAAUUAAGGGGUUAUUGAUUUCAGCUACCGAUAUUCCUUUAUAGACUUUACCCCAUGAAUUGUAAUUCCAAAGAGUGACAACCAUGAAUAUACUUUUUUUCUAUUUUAAAAUUUUAGGUGCAAUCAUGAAAUUGCUAUGUAGUGAUAGUUUCGCCUUUGAUUCUAAAGGUUUGGUCCUUUGGGUGAUAGGUUUCUUUUCUUUUCUCAUUGCUGGCGUUUCUUGCAUGUUUUUUUGGUCCUAUGAAUUACGGUAGUAAUAUUAGUUCUUGAUAUUUGAACGGUUACAUAUCUCUCACAAUUCCAUAGUUUUUCCUCUCAUGUUGUCUCCUUGCUGAAAGUAUUGAUGUCAAGAUAAAAUAAUGUGUCGGCUCUUCAACAAAUUGAGUACUAAUUCAUUUUCAGGUAUCAGUUUAAAAGUGGGCAGCCGAUAACCGGUGGCCACUAUCUUGCACAAGCUGCUCAGAGCCUCAGAUGACCCACUACAUAUAUGCAGUUAUUUGUGCUUUAUCAUUAACAUUUGUCAUUGUCCUAUCUUUAUUUUAUAUCUUUGUAAUGAAUGAUUGCAUGCCGUGGCCAGUUCUUGACUUCUAUGCUUUGGCGUUACUUGAUAC
Panicum virgatum (switchgrass) is the source of this 3012-nucleotide long non-coding RNA. RefSeq lists it as uncharacterized. The record is from RefSeq and is a predicted model, not a curated record. NCBI's taxonomy places the organism in Eukaryota, Viridiplantae, Streptophyta, Magnoliopsida, Poales, Poaceae. The transcript has 3 exons.